Molecule: ribosomal RNA, 330 nt
Filed under: uncultured bacterium
Lineage: Bacteria
Description: bacterial SSU rRNA
Rfam family: Bacterial small subunit ribosomal RNA
Source: RNAcentral
UGUGUAGGCGGUCCUGUAAGUCUGGUGUGAAAUCUCCCGGCUCAACUGGGAGGGUGCGCCGGAAACUGCAGGGCUAGAGUGCGGGAUGGGAGAGUAGAAUUCCUGGUGUAGCGGUGAAAUGCGUAGAUAUCAGGAGGAAUACCUGUGGUGUAGACGGCUCUCUGGACCGCGACUGACGCUGAGACACGAAAGCGUGGGUAGCAAACAGGAUUAGAUACCCUGGUAGUCCACGCCCUAAACGAUGCACAUUUGGUGUGGGUGAUUCAUUUCAUCCGUGCCGGAGCUAACGCGUUAAAUGUGCCGCCUGGGGAGUACGGUCGCAAGGCUGAA